UACGGAGGGUGCAAACGUUGCUCGGAAUCAUUGGGCGUAAAGCGCACGUAGGCGGUCCAGCAAGUCGGGUGUGAAAGCCCUCGGCUUAACCGAGGAAGUGCAUUCGAAACUACUGGACUUGAGUACUGAAGAGGGUCGCGGAAUUCCCGGUGUAGAGGUGAAAUUCGUAGAUAUCGGGAGGAGCACCAGUGGCGAAGGCGGCGACCUGGGCAGAUACUGACGCUGAGGUGCGAAAGCGUGGGGAGCAAACAGG
RNAcentral lists this ribosomal RNA (253 nucleotides) under uncultured bacterium. RNAcentral's name for it is "partial 16S ribosomal RNA". It matches the Rfam family "Bacterial small subunit ribosomal RNA", at positions 524 to 776 of the family's 1533-position model. The record is from RNAcentral.